UCUGGGCCGACAGGGAGCAAGAGCGUGCUUAGGGGCAAAGUCCCAUUGUCUCAUGCUGUUCUCCAGUCCCAAGAUGGCGGCCACCAUGAAGACGACGGCUGCAGAAGAUGUCAAUGUUACUUUCGAAGAGCAACAGAAGAUAAACAAAUUUGCAUGGAAGACAAGUAGAAUCACAGAGCUGAAGGAAGAAAUAGAAGUAAAACAGAAACAACUCCAAAACGUAGAAGAUGCUUGUGAUGGUACCAUGCUUGCAGAUGCUGACUGCUUAAUGAUGCCUUAUCAAAUCGGUGAUGUCUUCAUUAGCCAUUCUCAAGAAGAAACACAGGAAACGUUAGAAGCAGCAAAUAAAACUUUGCAAGAAGCAAGUGACGCCUUAGAAUCCAAAGUCGAAGCAAUUCAGUGGCUGUGAGCAGAUUUGAAAGUUCAGUUGUACGCAACAUUUGGGAGCAGCAUAAACCUUG
Molecule: RNA transcript, 461 nt
Organism: Nomascus leucogenys (northern white-cheeked gibbon)
Lineage: Eukaryota; Metazoa; Chordata; Mammalia; Primates; Hylobatidae
Gene name: prefoldin subunit 4 pseudogene
Exons: 1
Source: RefSeq, a predicted model, not a curated record